Non-coding RNA from Potamilus streckersoni, 74 nucleotides. The record is from the annotation of a GenBank genome assembly. Lineage: Eukaryota; Metazoa; Mollusca; Bivalvia; Unionida; Unionidae.
GCUCCGGUGGCCUAAGUGGUUAGAGUGUCCACCUCGGAUGCUGGAGGUCCCGAGUUCGAAUUCUGGCCGAGUCA